UGCAGAGGGUGCGAGCGUUAAUCGGAAUUACUGGGCGUAAAGGGUGCGUAGGCGGCGCGGUAAGUCGGGUGUGAAAUCUCGGAGCUUAACUCCGAAACUGCAUUCGAUACUGCCGUGCUUGAGGACUGGAGAGGAGACUGGAAUUUACGGUGUAGCGGUGAAAUGCGUAGAUAUCGUAAGGAAGACCAGUGGCGAAGGCGGGUCUCUGGACAGUUCCUGACGCUGAGGCACGAAGGUCAGGGGAGCAAACGGG
RNAcentral lists this ribosomal RNA (253 nucleotides) under uncultured bacterium. RNAcentral describes it as "partial 16S ribosomal RNA". It matches the Rfam family "Bacterial small subunit ribosomal RNA", at positions 524 to 776 of the family's 1533-position model. The record is from RNAcentral.